Molecule: ribosomal RNA, 395 nt
Filed under: uncultured eukaryote
Lineage: Eukaryota
Description: bacterial SSU rRNA
Rfam family: Eukaryotic small subunit ribosomal RNA
Source: RNAcentral
CAAUAGCGUAUAUUAAAGUUGUUGCAGUUAAAAAGCUCGUAGUUGGAUUUUGGGGUUAGGUGACUGGUCUGCCGCAAUGGUGUGUACUAGUUGCUUGGCUCUUCCUUCUGGGAACGGCUCGUGUACUUCAUUGUGCGUGGGUCGAACGCAGAUCGUUUACUUUGAAAAAAUUAGAGUGUUCAAAGCAGGCCAAUGCCUUGAAUACAUUAGCAUGGAAUAAUGGAAUAGGACUUUGGUUCUAUUUUGUUGGUUUUCGAGAACUGAGGUAAUGAUUAAUAGGGAUAGUUGGGGGCGUUCGUAUUUCAUUGUCAGAGGUGAAAUUCUUGGAUUUAUGAAAGACGAACUUCUGCGAAAGCAUUCGCCAAGGAUGUUUUCGUUAAUCAAGAACGAAAGUU